CGCAAACGGAAUGAUUGAACGUGUCCAU
RNAcentral lists this small RNA (28 nucleotides) under Bombyx mori (domestic silkworm). RNAcentral's name for it is "ovarian small RNA-14299". The record is from RNAcentral. Lineage: Eukaryota; Metazoa; Arthropoda; Insecta; Lepidoptera; Bombycidae.